GGAGCCCCAAGCCUGAUUUCGGGGCCCUGUGGGCUAGUUUCACUUUUUGCUUGCUCAACAGAGGGAGGGCUGGCUGCAGGUGGGACGCCCUGCAGGAAGGUGCGAGGGCUUGCUUUGACUUUGGCGUUGAGACCAAAGGCCGACAGUGAAUUUCCACGUUUCACUCAGGCGCUGGGGUCAUUCAGUAACCAGAGCUUCUGGAGGAAAACACUUGUCCACGGUGGGCCACCAGGAGCCCUGGAGCAGUUGACCCCAGGCCCUGCAGGUUGGACACCCUUGAGGACAGCCAUCACCUGGCCCUGCUACCCUGUGCCUUGUUUUAGGAUGACAAGUGACUCCAGGAGGAGAGUGGUCUGGCUGUGGACUGCUUCCCAUUGAGGACUUCUGUUACCUGUACUGCGCUCCCGAGGGUGGAAUACAGGCCAGGCCAGAUGUAUCCAGCCUCCAUCUGCCAUGUUUGGCCACAUGGUUGCUCUGAUUGAGUAUCCUGGAUCUUGUCUCAUGGCCACCAUCUGCUAGGCUCUGCCCAGUCACGUAAUAGAGUGAGUGAGUCAGUAAGAAGAUGCCACAUCUGAACCUGGGCUCUACAGUGCUACACAUCAAGCUGGGCUGGGCCAGCUUUGUAUGGAGUGGGGUGAAGGUGUGGAAAUUAUGUAUUCACCAGACCCAGUAUAAAUGAUAAGUGGAGUUUUAUUGGGGAUACACAGAAAACAAUAAGUGACUGUCCGGGCAUUCCUGCUUCAAGGAUGCAGGCCCUGCCUCCUUGAUGCUUUUUGUGACCCAAAGGGGACCCCAAUUUCCCAUCCUCUUCCUUUAACCAGUCACAUCUGCACCUGUAACCAUACCCAAAAGUCGUGGUCUCUGUUACAGGUACACAGGCAAAUAUAUCACUACAGUGGGGGCUCUGGGUAAACUAUGGGAAGUGACAGCUGCCAUGUAUCCUGGUCAUCCUUCCUGGCGUGGGCCUUGCCUUUCCCCUGAUCAUGCAGUGUGGGCUGGAAUCAGGAGAGUUCACAGGAACACUGGGCAUGGAGAAGUGAGACUGGGCACACGGCCACAGAGGGCAGAGGCUAGCUUGUGAGUCCACACUGCAUUUCUGCCCUCAUUGUCUUCCUUGUCUGUCUGGUGGGAAGAUAAUUUUCCCUUCUGAGGAAUGCUAGCUGCUGUGUAGACCCCAGGAGAGGUUUGGGUGCUGUGUGGAGCCCAGAGGAGACAGGUUGUGUACAUGGAGAGCAUAGCACUCCACACCUGUGCCUCAUGGAAUGCAUUGUUUCUUACACUGGCCUUGAGAACGUCUCAGAUUUUCUGAGACAGUCCUGUCUGUCACUAAAAACUCCUCCCUUCAUUUUCUUCCUCUGAUCUCUGUUUAAGGUGAGCUCUAGCAAUCCCCCUGCCUCAGCGUCCUGGGUGCUGAGGCUACAGGCAUGUGUAGCCUGACCUGUUCUAAUCACCCAUCCUUCCUCACACAAUGGCUGUGGAUGGGCUCCAGAACUUAAGCCAUGGUGACAGGUGGCCUUCAACACUCUUGGGGUUUGGACUUCGGAUGUUGUUCCCUCCCCUUUAUCUCGAAUUGUCAGGGGUCACAUUGAUUGACUUCCUGAGAUUCACCUUCCCGUGUCCUGGACAGAGCAGCUUUGAUGGCAUUUGGUUUGUCGCCUAAGGCUGAGGCUAAUCUGUAGACUGUCUUACCUACUCGUGGGUGAGGUGGGGCUUCUCAAAGAGCCUCUCUUGUUCCUGGCACCUCCUGCUUCUCCAUCUCUUAGUAACUUGCUGACUGCAGCACAGAUGCCCCUGGCAGAUGGCAGAGCAGAGUGUCAGCUCAGGUGACUUAUCAUAGUGCGUGUAUGAAAUAUUGUAAAUUGAUCCUGCUUACUGUCUAAUCAGGAAGUAGGUUUGAACUUUGUUAGGCAGCAGUCUGGUGUUCACACUGAAGACAUGCUGACAGUCCAUUAGAUUGCCUCAUAGCUAAGCAUUAUGGGCUGUUGCCUUGGGGUGCCGAUGGCUCUGCUGGCCAAACUCCUGAAAGGGACUUGGCUUUCAUAUUCCUGAGUGCUCAGGCCCUUGUCUCUUGACGG
Molecule: non-coding RNA, 2075 nt
Organism: Cricetulus griseus (Chinese hamster)
Lineage: Eukaryota; Metazoa; Chordata; Mammalia; Rodentia; Cricetidae
Source: RefSeq, a predicted model, not a curated record